UUUUUCUUUCCUGUCUUCACUUAUAUUUAUUAUUUUUUGGCAUUCAAUCUCUUUUUGCUUUUUGGUUAUACCUGUUUUCAUUGGUAACCCUUAGGAUUUAUAAUACAUCAUUCUUAUAUUGAACCAGUCUAUAUUUAUUAUACCACUUCAUCAAUAAGGAUCUUACAACAGUAAAAUUUCAUUUACCGCCCCCCUUCCAAUCUUUUGCAUUAUUGUCAUGUGUUUCACUUUUACAGCUUAUAAACCAACCAAACACUUUUUUGCGGGGAGAGGAUUCCAAGGCAUGUGGAAGUUCCUGGAGUAGGGAUCAAAUGUGCACCAAAGCAGUGACCCAAGCUACAGCAGUGAUAAUGCUGGGUAUUUAACUGCAAGGACACCAGGGAACUCCUAAAUACUUUUUGCUUUAAACAAAUUAAAGAAAUUAAAACUUUCAAAACUAUUUUAUAUUUAUCUAAUGUUACCAUUUCCAACAUGCUUCAGUCUUUCCAUACUUUUACUUUCUCAAAGACCAACAAAUGUAAGUAAAUUGUGAUUUUUAUAAUUAAAACAAAAUUUUUAGGGCCACACCUGUGGCAUGUGGAAGUUCCCAGGCUAGGAGCUGAAUUGGAGCCACAGCUGCCAGCCACAGCCACAGCAAUGGGGGAUCCAAGCUGUGUCCAAGACCUACACCAAAGUUCACAGCAACGGCGGAUCCUUAACCCACUGACUGAGGCCAGGGAUCGAAACUGCAUCCUCAUGGAUGCAAGUCAGGUUUGUCACCACUGAGCCAUGACUGGAACUCCUUUAUAAUAUUUUAAUAUUUCUAAUAUUUUUAGUUUCUUGGUAGUAAAAAUGGACAAUUGUGGACUCACAAUGCUGGCAUAAGAGAGAGUGAGAAUAGUUCUUUUGUGACAUCACAAGUUAGGGAUCUGGCAUUAUCACUGCAGAGGCAGAGGUUGUUCCUGUGGCACAAGCUCAAUCCCUGGCCCCAGAACUUCCACAUACCCCAGGUGUGGCCAAAAAAAAAAAGAAUAAUGGAAUGAAUUGGCCUCGACAAAGUGCCAACGCAAAGUGCAUAAUGCAAAAUCUUUUAUAACAACUUUAAUAUAAAAAUAUUUACAGAAAUUAUGGCAUGUACUUUUUAGUGUCUAAUGCCUGAGAAUACACACAAUUAAAUUGAAUUUAAAGACCCCUUGGACUAGACAAAGUACACCAGAGGUACAACUUGAGGUAGUACUACCCUGCAAGGGCAUUUUAAAAUAUGUCUGCAAUUUAGAUUGUCACACUGGGUAGGCAGUAUUUCAUUUCCUGGGGUAAAAUACACAGAACUGAGAUCCAAUGCAGGAUUGUCUUACCUCAAAAUGCUCAUAGCACCCAGAUGAGAGACAGUAAAAAUAUCUGGCUCUACUUUGGGGCAUUAUUUAUUUUGACUUUUUUGAGAGAAUAUGAAACAUUCCAUUCAUAUCUAACUUUAACAGAAUACCUGAUUUUUCACCUCAUUUCUAAUCCAACUGUCUCCCACUAUGAUAAAUUACACCAUCAUCCAAUGAGACAUUUUUCUUCCCCUCCCCAUCAACAUGCAAUUCAUCAUUACAUGAGUUGACCCCACCUUUAAAAUAUCUCUCUUUAAUCAGUGUCACACUAGUUCAAACCAACAUUACCUCAGUCUAGACAGCAACCUACUAACUCCCUGGGAACCAUUCUGCACACAGCAGUCAGAGUCAUUGCUUAAAAGCAAAACUCAAAAAAUUUUACUUCUGUUUUUAAAAUCUUCAAAGUUAUCUAGUUACACUUAGAAAUUCAGAUUCUUUUGCUACCUCACAAAAUCAUAUGUGAUGUGUCUCCUGCCUGCCUCUCACCUCAUGGUUCUCUGCUCCUCACCCACUGUGCUGCCACCUCUCUGCCUUCCCUUUUCUCAAACUUGCUUCAGGGACUUUAAACUAAUGUUUCCUCUGCAUAGAAGAUCCUUUUCUGCUAGAUUUUCAUGUAGCUGGCUCGUUUUCUUUAGGACCUCUCACCCUGCUGAGCCAAUUCAGCAUCUUCAGAAGUAGAAGUAGUUGGUUACAUUAAAAAUGAGUAAACUGGGAGUUCUUGUUGUGGCUCAACAUGUUAAGAACCUGCCAUAGUGUCCCUGAGAAUGUGGGGUCAAUCCCUGGCCUCACUCAUCGGAUUCAUUAACCACUGCGCUACCACAGGAACUCGUUUUUUCACUUCUUUAAUUAAAAAAUUUUUAAAAUAAGUAAACUAAAAAUCUUACAUAUGCUAAAGUUGGUGAACCAGUGAGCUAAACUUUUCUCUGUGUCUGUUACUGAUUUGUUAAUGAAUGUGGAAAUAAAAAGCAUUUGAGUAUCCAAUCCAAUAACUUUUUUUCUUUUUUUUGCUUUUUAGCGCAGCACUUGCAGCAUAUGGAAGUUCCCAGGCUAGGGGCAGAAUUGGAGCUGCAGGUGCCAGCCUAUACCACAGCCACAGCAAUGCAGGAUCCAAGCCAUGUCUGCAAUCUACACCAUAGCUCACAGACACGCUGGAUCCUUAACCUACUGAGCAAGACCAGGGAUCGUACCGCAUCCUCAUGGAUACUAGUCUGGAUUCGUUUCCAUUGCACCACAAGGGGAACUCCAAAUCCAAUAAUUGUUGUUUCCCUUAGAAAAUUUUCACAUUCAGUGCAUGUUGUAGUUAGAAAAUGCCAUACUACUGCAACAAACACCCAACAACAAUAAAGAGGCUUAAGGAGAAGAGGUGUAACAUUCUAUGACUACAUUCUGUGGAGAGUUCCAGUAGGAAUUAUAUAACAUGACAAAGUGGGAGUUGUUUCUGGAAGAAUGGUUCAACAUACGAAAAUCACUCUAAUAUACCACAUUAACAGAAUGAAGGACAAAAACUAAAUGAUCAUCCUAAUUCAUGCAGAAAAACAUUUGGUAAGACUCAAUACCAUUUCCUCAUUCUCCCCACCUGCCAAUCAUCAAACUAGGAAUAGAAGGAAACUACCUCAGCAUAAUAAAGGCCAUAUAUGAAAAGCCCAAAGCUAACAUUAUACUCAGCGUUAAAAGAUGCCAAGCUUUUCCUCUAAGAUCAGGAAUAAAGCAGGAUGCCCAUUCUUGCCACUUCUACUCAACAUGGCGUUUGAAGUCCUAGGCAGAGCAAUUAGCAAGGAAAAACAAAAACCAUCUAAACUGGAAAGAAAGAAAAUUAUGUUUGCAAAUAUCUUUCAUGAUGAAAACCCUAAAGACUCUACACACACACACACACCUAAACCAAAACCUCUACUUCUAAAAAAAAGCAAAAGAAAAGGCAGAAGUUCCCAUUGUGGCUUAGCAGUAACAAACCCGACUGGCAUCCAUGAGGAGGAGGGUUUCAAUCCCUGGCCUUACUCAGUGGGCUAAAGGAUCUGGUGUUGCUGUUAAGUCGAGGUGUAGAGCACAGACAUGGCUCGGAUCAUGCAUGGCUGUGGCUGUGGCUGUGGCUGCAGCUCCGAUUGGACCCCUAGCCUGGGAGCUUCCCCAUGUCACAGGAGCAGCCCUAAAAAAAAAAAAAAAAAAAAAAAAAAAAAA
RNAcentral lists this long non-coding RNA (3527 nucleotides) under Sus scrofa (pig). Its description in RNAcentral is "lncRNA (ENSSSCG00030028032.1)". The record is from RNAcentral. Lineage: Eukaryota; Metazoa; Chordata; Mammalia; Artiodactyla; Suidae.